CCUACGGGUGGCAGCAGUCGAGAAUCAUUCACAAUGGGGGAAACCCUGAUGGUGCGACGCCGCGUGGGGGAAUGAAGGUCUUCGGAUUGUAAACCCCUGUCAUGUGGGAGCAAAUUAAAAAGAUAGUACCACAAGAGGAAGAGACGGCUAACUCUGUGCCAGCAGCCGCGGUACUACAGAGGUCUCAAGCGUUUUUCGGAAUCACUGGGCGUAAAGCGUGCGUAGGCUGUUUCGUAAGUCGUGUGUGAAAGGCGCGGGCUCAACCCGCGGACGGCACAUGAUACUGCGAGACUAGAGUAAUGGAGGGGGAAGCGGAAUUCUCGGUGUAGCAGUGAAAUGCGUAGAUAUCGAGAGGAACACUCGUGGCGAAGGCGGGUUCCUGGACAUUAACUGACGCUGAGGCACGAAGGCCAGGGGAGCGAAAGGGAUUAGAUACCCGAGUAGUC
Molecule: ribosomal RNA, 446 nt
Filed under: uncultured bacterium
Lineage: Bacteria
Description: partial 16S ribosomal RNA
Rfam family: Bacterial small subunit ribosomal RNA
Source: RNAcentral